GCUUUAUUCAAAGUAAUGUCCAUCGCUAGCUACACAUUUCCCCCAUCUUUCAGGUCGAAGCUCAACCACUGAACCAGACUAACCAGGCUGUAGUUGAGUCUUGUUUGCUGUUGGCACUUCAGUGGGAGGGAUUUACCCAGGCUGAGGCAAGGACUGGCUGCAAGGACUGGCUGUGACCACUAACCACCGACUUCUAACAACCUUGGAGGAUCGGCUGUGCAGAGACCCACUGCAUAGAGCAGGACCUACUUCAGCAGGGCUCAGUCAGAAGUUAAGGAGACUUUCCUGCCUGGAACCCCUCACUCCUCAGGGGUGACCCCCACAGCCAAGGUAUACCUUUUCAUUUUUAUCCACCACACCUGGGUGUGGGACCAGCUCAUCCAUGCUUCCUCCCCUUCUACCAGUCUUGAUGUAGCUUCUUUUUUGUUGUUAUUGUUAAUCCUCACCUGAGGAUAUUUCUCCAUUGACUUUUAGAGAGAGUGGAAAGGAGGAGAGAGAGAGAGAGAGAGAGAG
Myotis myotis is the source of this 513-nucleotide long non-coding RNA. RefSeq lists it as uncharacterized. The transcript is spliced from 3 exons. The record is from RefSeq and is a predicted model, not a curated record. NCBI's taxonomy places the organism in Eukaryota, Metazoa, Chordata, Mammalia, Chiroptera, Vespertilionidae.